GACGUAGGGCGCGAGCGUUGUCCGGAUUUAUUGGGCGUAAAGAGCUCGUAGGCGGCUUGUCGCGUCGUCCGUGAAAACCUGGGGCUCAACCCCAGGCUUGCGGUCGAUACGGGCAGGCUCGAGUUCGGUAGGGGAGACUGGAAUUCCUGGUGUAGCGGUGAAAUGCGCAGAUAUCAGGAGGAACACCGGUGGCGAAGGCGGAUCUCUGGGCCUUACCUGACGCUCAGGUGCGAAAGCUAGGGGAGCGAACAGG
This 253-nucleotide ribosomal RNA is filed under the name uncultured bacterium. RNAcentral's name for it is "partial 16S ribosomal RNA". It matches the Rfam family "Bacterial small subunit ribosomal RNA", at positions 524 to 776 of the family's 1533-position model. The record is from RNAcentral.